RNAcentral lists this ribosomal RNA (492 nucleotides) under uncultured bacterium. Its description in RNAcentral is "partial 16S ribosomal RNA". It matches the Rfam family "Bacterial small subunit ribosomal RNA", at positions 29 to 507 of the family's 1533-position model. The record is from RNAcentral.
AGUGAACGCUGGCGGUAGGCCUAACACAUGCAAGUCGAACGGCAGCACAGUAAGAGCUUGCUCUUACGGGUGGCGAGUGGCGGACGGGUGAGGAAUACAUCGGAAUCUACUUUUUCGUGGGGGAUAACGUAGGGAAACUUACGCUAAUACCGCAUACAACCUACGGGUGAAAGCAGGGGAUCUUCGGACCUUGCGCGAUUGAAUGAGCCGAUGUCGGAUUAGCUAGUUGGCGGGGUAAAGGCCCACCAAGGCGACGAUCCGUAGCUGGUCUGAGAGGAUGAUCAGACACACGGGAACAGAGACAGGGUCCAGACUCCUACGGGAGGCCGCAGUGGGGAAUAUUGGACAAUGGGGGCAAGCCUGAUCCAGCCAUACCGCGUGGGUGAAGAAGGACUUAGGGUUGGAAAGCCCUUUUGUUGGGAAAGAAAAGCAGCAGGUUAAUACCCCGCUGUUCUGACGGUACCCAAAGAAUAAGCACCGGCUAACUUCGUG